Non-coding RNA from Nylanderia fulva, 458 nucleotides. Lineage: Eukaryota; Metazoa; Arthropoda; Insecta; Hymenoptera; Formicidae. The record is from RefSeq and is a predicted model, not a curated record.
UGUCCAUUUCGCACGUUUUACAACAGACGGCGAUAGUAUGUCGCUCCAUGAUCCAUGAUGUUAGGUUGUGUGUCAGAUGUCAGAUUGACGUUUUUUGAUUUUGAAUUUUGAAUUUUGAUGUGAUGAUGUGAUUUGAUGUGAUGUGAUGGAAAAAGAAAUUUAUAAAAAUCAGGAUGACAAGCAGCAGAAAGUGUAUUAAUGUGAUAUGUGAUGUUUAUAAAAAUCAGGAAGGAAACAAUGACUUGUGAAUAUGAAGCGAUAGUGCUUUCACCAGUACUGUGCAGUUAUCCAGAUUACAAACCACAAGACACUGGAGAAAAUGAAAUUACAUGUCAACCUGUCGAUAAUGCACCAAAGAAACCAAAGUCACUUAUGUUGAUGGAACUGGAAAGUAUAAAAACGCGACAUCAACAACAAGUGAGGGUAAAUCUGUGCGAUAAAUAUUUAAAACUUGCAGA